UGCACGAAUGGCGUAAUGAUGGCCAGGCUGUCUCCACCCGAGACUCAGUGAAAUUGAACUCGCUGUGAAGAUGCAGUGUACCCGCGGCAAGACGGAAAGACCCCGUGAACCUUUACUAUAGCUUGACACUGAACAUUGAGCCUUGAUGUGUAGGAUAGGUGGGAGGCUUUGAAGUGUGGACGCCAGUCUGCAUGGAGCCGACCUUGAAAUACCACCCUUUAAUGUUUGAUGUUCUAACGUGGACCCGUAAUCCGGGUUGCGGACAGUGUCUGGUGGGUAGUUUGACUGGGGCGGUCUCCUCCUAAAGAGUAACGGAGGAGCACGAAGGUUGGCUAAUCCUGGUCGGACAUCAGGAGGUUAGUGCAAUGGCAUAAGCCAGCUUGACUGCGAGCGUGACGGCGCGAGCAGGUGCGAAAGCAGGUCAUAGUGAUCCGGUGGUUCUGAAUGGAAGGGCCAUCGCUCAACGGAUAAAAGGUACUCCGGGGAUAACAGGCUGAUACCGCCCAAGAGUUCAUAUCGACGGCGGUGUUUGGCACCUCGAUGUCGGCUCAUCACAUCCUGGGGCUGAAGUAGGUCCCAAGGGUAUGGCUGUUCGCCAUUUAAAGUGGUACGCGAGCUGGGUUUAGAACGUCGUGAGACAGUUCGGUCCCUAUCUGCCGUGGGCGCUGGAGAACUGAGGGGGGCUGCUCCUAGUACGAGAGGACCGGAGUGGACGCAUCACUGGUGUUCGGGUUGUCAUGCCAAUGGCACUGCCCGGUAGCUAAAUGCGGAAGAGAUAAGUGCUGAAAGCAUCUAAGCACGAAACUUGCCCCGA
Molecule: ribosomal RNA, 814 nt
Filed under: Salmonella enterica
Lineage: Bacteria; Pseudomonadati; Pseudomonadota; Gammaproteobacteria; Enterobacterales; Enterobacteriaceae
Also listed under: 1 other name
Description: partial 23S ribosomal RNA
Rfam family: Bacterial large subunit ribosomal RNA
Source: RNAcentral